This is a long non-coding RNA of Thunnus maccoyii (southern bluefin tuna), 452 nucleotides long. RefSeq lists it as uncharacterized. The record is from RefSeq and is a predicted model, not a curated record. The transcript is spliced from 4 exons. NCBI's taxonomy places the organism in Eukaryota, Metazoa, Chordata, Actinopteri, Scombriformes, Scombridae.
CUUGUCUGUUUAUGAGCUGCUGGUACUCUGUUAAGUAAACUUAUUAAAGAAUAUAAGAGGAGGAAGUGUGUUUUGGUGUUUCUUGUGUUGACAUCGGUCGUCAUCAUGGCUCAACCUGUUUGGAGGCAUCAAAUCUUUUUGGAGAGGUGCAAAUAGUGGAUGAAAAGAUAACUCACAAGAGGCAGAUGGUGGCUCAAGAUCGUUCCAAGGCUUGCAAAAGAACUGCUGCGCCUGCAAAGUGGCUCACAACAACCAGACUAUGAUCAGCCAGGUUAUCAGGGCUGAAUCUAUUCAUUUUGGAGAUACUGUUUGCAACGCAAGAAACAGGUGGAUCAGCUAACAAACAGCAGUCUCAGGUUUUCAUGAAGCACUUGAGAUGUAGUAAUUUUGGUAUAGCUCCAAUUGGUUUUUAAAAAUGUAAAAUGGCUUGAUAUUGCAAACUGUCCUGCUCA